GUCUUUGUCGUCUAAUGGUAGGACAGCUGAUUUUCGUUCAGCUAAUAGCGGUUCGAUUCCGCUCAAAGACU
Molecule: transfer RNA, 71 nt
Filed under: Undibacterium pigrum
Lineage: Bacteria; Pseudomonadati; Pseudomonadota; Betaproteobacteria; Burkholderiales; Oxalobacteraceae
Description: tRNA-Glu
Rfam family: tRNA
About the family: Transfer RNA (tRNA) molecules are approximately 80 nucleotides in length.
Source: RNAcentral